RNAcentral lists this ribosomal RNA (645 nucleotides) under Scrobiculinus lepida. Its description in RNAcentral is "partial 12S ribosomal RNA". The record is from RNAcentral. Lineage: Eukaryota; Metazoa; Mollusca; Gastropoda; Trochida; Trochidae.
GACAAACAGGCCAAGUUAAGUCUAUUUGGUAUAAAAGGAAGUGAGAAUAUUUAGUAGCUAGAAAAUUAAUUUUUUAUGGGGAGGUGGAAUUCGUACAUAGUGAAUUUUUAUCAUUAGUUUCUUGUGUUUGAGGCUUCGAGAAUCAGGUGAGAGACCGGGAUUAGAUACCCCGUUAUUCUUUUUGUAAAUUUUGAUGCGAUGGAUUUACCUGAGUAUUACGGGUUGGGGGUGUGCCAACAGGCUUAAUUACAAGUGUGAGGUGCGUCUCCAGUUACUUAAAACUCAAAAAACUUGGCGGUGCUUUAAUUCCUUCCAGGGGAACCUGUCCUGUAAUUGAUGAUCCACGAUUAAUCUUACUUUUUUUAGCGGGCAAUUUUGUCUACAGCUUGUAUACCGUCGUCGUCAGAUUACCUUUGAGAGAUGAGAAGUUGUCGGUAAAAUCGUAGAGGUACAUUAACGUGAAGCUUUAAUGUCUUUUUAUUUUUGAUGUCAGAUCAAGGUGCAGCCCAUAAAAAAGUAGUGAUGGGUUACAGUAUAAAUUCUAUACUAUGGAUUUUGUUUUGUAAUAGGCAAUUGAAAGUGGACUUGGGAGUAAUAUGUUCUAAAUUAGAAAGUUUGUGUGAAUAUAAAGGUGCUAAGGCGCGU